RNA transcript from Oncorhynchus masou masou (cherry salmon), 5355 nucleotides. RefSeq lists it as uncharacterized. Lineage: Eukaryota; Metazoa; Chordata; Actinopteri; Salmoniformes; Salmonidae. The transcript has 9 exons. The record is from RefSeq and is a predicted model, not a curated record.
AGUGCCUAAGAACAGUUUCCACGUUAGCGUUUUUAUUAUUGUUAUUUAGACAUUUAUUAUUACCCUGGAACUCAAAAUAUGUCUCAUUUAACUGCUCAUCAUCAUAUACUCACUCCAGGUAGUGUUUAAUUCGCGUUGGAGACAGAAUUUAAUUGAUAGAUGUUAUCUGUUUAACGUUUGCUAACAAUGGCUAACUGUAACAGUAACGUUAUGGUUUUUCACACUCAAAUAGCAUCCAUCAUGGAGGUGUUAGCGAAUUCAGCCGUGGCAGACAUAUGUAAACUCGUAGACGACGACUAUGCAGUGUUUCGUUUGGAAAUAACUCAAAGCCAGAAAGAAAAUAGGACAUUGCGGAGGAAACUACAGCAACUGGAACUGAAGGUGGCACGGGAGCGCGCAGAGAGGACAACGCGAGAGCGCGUUCUCGCCAGUCCGAAUAGUGUUAAGGUCCUCGACAGAUACAGAGGAAUGACAAGAGGUGAAGGACAUCUCACUGGAGGCCACAGGAGCUUUGUGAAGCCAGCGGGACAAAAUACAUGGAGAGAUGACCAACCUAUAGCUGUAGAUGAGGAGACUGGAACCUCAACCCAGCAUGUUAUUGUGAUAGAGUCUACAGAUGCAGAGAUUGCAGGUCCUGGAGGAUCGUCUCUGGUCAAGCAGAAGAGGAUUGAAGGAGAGGAGGACCCACGACACAGCAGAGACAUCCAGACUGGAGCAGUGGCGGGUGUGGUGCCCCCUGUAGCCACGGAGGACAUCGCCACAGCGCCGCAGCCCAGGACCCAACGCUGCAUCACGGAGCAGGAGGUGGCUCCAAAGGUGCUGCUGGUCAAGGAGGAGGGGUGUGAGGAGGGUCUGGGGAACACUGAGGGGGACAUGGUCAUGGAGGACAACCAGACUUCACCUCCUCUUGAACCCACAGAGGAACUAGCUGAGCAGCACAGGACCACACACAGUUUUACUGAGUCAGUAGACAUGGAGGAUGGGAAGACUGAUCUGCUACUAGUCAAAGAGGAGACUAUAGAAGACGGACCAGAGAGCAUUGACCUGCUGAGUGGACUUAAGAUGGGGGAGCAAGGUAGUUGGCUGGAGGCUAACAGAGAAGACUGGGCAGCCAUCUUGGAUUCCCAGAAUCAGGCCGGUGCAGCCAGGGACCCGGGGGACAACAUCACAGUGCAGGCCAGGACCAGAGGCAACAUAGUGGAGUCUGCAGUCCACGAGGACCUGCUGAUAUCUGGUGUUGCUGGAGGGAGAGACUGGACCUCUGAGGCGGCCGGUCACAAACCUUGGCUCCGGAUCAGGACCCUGGAUCAGGAGCCGUCACUUUUCCAUUCCGAGUCAGAAACAGAACCGAACAAUGAGGGACAGAGACUCCACCACAUCCACCACACAGAACACAACCAGUGGACAGCUGGACUAAACAACCUCAGUCCUGGUGGUCAUCAGAUAGACAGAGGCUCCAGUCAUGGAUCCAGUUUGCAGCCCAGACCCUUCUCUUCACAGUCUCAGUGCAGGGAUGAAGCAGGGCCUGGGGCUGAUAGAGAUAGACCCUCCUGUUCCUAUGAUACAAACACCACAGUAUCCAUGAUGAACAGAGCAGGUCACCCUGGGCUUCAGCCUUCGCAGAGAUUGGUGGGAGACCCCCCCGGUGAGAGUCUAACAGGAGGUCUGUCUUCUCCUUCAGGAUCUUGUCUAAUGCCUGGCGAAUGGGUUCACAGAGGGCCUGGACCUGGGUCUAGCCUUCCUCAAUUACCUCAUGGUUACCCCACCAAUACAGACAGGGUCAGGAUGGGCAUCCAUCACAAGAGGUACCUAGCCUAUAAUACAGCACACAACAACAACACCCAAACAACAAUGGCUAGAGGUCAAGGAGGGAGCUUAAAGACUAACCACCUGAGGGUGGUGGCUCCUUCUUCUGCCUCGUCUGGUGUCAUUGGGUCACAACGUGGGAGGCCGAGCAUUAGGACGGACGCCGACAAGCCGUACGCCUGCCCCACAUGUGGGAAGCGCUUCGCUAGGGCAGACUAUUUGAGGGAGCACCAGGCCGUUCACACCAAGGACAAGCCCUUCAAGUGCAAACUAUGUUACAAGAGCUUCUCCUUCCUGACUAACCUUAUCAGACAUAGGAGUGUCCACAACCGGGAGAAAUUGUAGCAGUGUGGCUCGAGAUGUACACAGGGGAUAUCCAGGAACUAUUCUUAAGUUGACAUAUAGUUGUGAAGUGUUUUGGGGUGAAGGAGAUCUCACUGGAGGCCACAGGAGCUUUGUGAAGCCAGUGCGACACAAUCACUGUUAAUCACUGUUGUCAAGCUGGAGAGGUCAAGGACCCGACUCAGCAUCACGGAGCCUGUUAUGGUUUGUGACCCUGUGUUACCCAGCACAGUGAGGGGCAAGAAGCAGGAGUGGACUGGGUCAGGCAGGAGUGGUUCUGAGCCCGGCAGCUAGUUGGUCCUGGCAGCAAGAAAGAAAGACGAACAUGAAGAUACAUCCAACGUACUGUAGGGUGCAGUGGGACAUACUUAAGAGGACGUCAGUUUGUGCUUAACAAUCCAAUCUAAUGUUAUUUUGUACAUAUCCCCACAAUAUGUGAUAAGGUUUACAGAAAAAAAGUAUACAAUUUUUGUUUUAAAGUAAGGUGAUCUCUUUAUGUCAUAAUUACUUUAAGACUAAGUAUCCUUGUUAGCUCAUUGAAUAGCAUCUGAACCUAUGUUGAAGUGUAUUUAAUUUACUGCCAAUCUGGAUAUGCCUUGUUUGACACUCUUUCUGCAUAUGAAUGAGGGAGUUUGAUUAAGAUGAACCAGCGUGCACCAGGAUAUGGCUCAUGAUUUGAACGGGUGAAAGCGGUGCGAGAGGAAAGCCCUGCUCAAAUAGAACCGUAAUCUUCGCCACCAGGUCACAUUGCCAACAAGGCAGCAUGAUGCAUUGUUCAGGAACAUACAACAUACAUUUUCCAUAAAGAAAUACUUUUCUGACUGGUUUAAUAAGGCAGAUGAAGUACGUAUGCGUUUCGAACACUUUGCAUGUGUUGUAAUCAUUAUUCCACGUGCUUAGCAUACGUCACUUUGUUUUGAGAUGACUUCGCCAUGUCACCCUGUUCACGCCCAGGAGGCAGCCCGGUUUCACAAUGAAUGCAAUCACUUUUCACCUGGUGAAAUCUCCGCCUUCCUGGGCACCUGUGCCAGCUUAAUCAAAUCCCCUCAUUGGGACUUAAAAUCGGAUCCUGGGGUCCGGCAAAAUUAAGGCAGUUAUACAAUCAUUACAAUACAUUCAUUACAGAAUUCACCACACACUAAGUGUGUGCCCUCAGGCCCAUACUCCACUACCACAUAUCGACAAUGCAAAAUCCAUGUGAAUGUGUGUGUAUAGUGGUUAUGUUAUCAUGUGUGUGUGUAUGCGUCUGUGCCUAUGUUUGUUUUACUUCACAGUCCCCGCUGUUCCAUAAGGUGUAUUUUUACCUGCUUUUUAAAUCUGAUUCUACCGCUUGCAUCAGUUACCUGAUGUGGAAUAGAGUUCCAUGUAGUGAUGGCUCUAUGUAGUACUGUGCGCCUCCUGUAGUCUAUUCUGGAAUUGGGGAUUGUGAAGAGACCUCUGGUGGCAUGUCUUGUGGGGUAUGCAUGGGUGUCUGAGCUGUGUGCGAGUAUUUUUACCUUCAGCUUGUCAACACCUCUUACAAAAACAAGUAAUGAGGAAGUCAAUCUCUCUUACUCUUUGAGCCAGGAGAGAUUGACAUGCAUGUCAUUAAUGUUAGCUCUCCGUGUACUUUUAAGGGCCAGCUGUGCUGCCCUGUUCUGAGCCAACUGCAAUUUUCCCAAGUCCUUCUUUGUGGCACCUGACCACACAACUGAACAGUAGUCCAGGUGCGACAAAACCAGGGCCUGCAGGAUCCGCCUUGUAGAUAGUGUUGUUAAGAAGGCAGAGCUGUGUGUUAUUAUGGAAAGACUUCUCCCCAUCUUAGCUACUGUUGUAUCAAUAUGUUUUGACCAUGACAGUUUACAAUCCAGGGUUACUCCAAGCAGUUUAGUCACCACAACUUGCUCAAUUUCCACAUUAUUCAUUACGAGAUGUAGUUGAGGUUUAGGGUUUAGUGAAUGAUUUGUCCCAAAUACAACGCUUUUAGUUUUGUAAGUAUUUAGGACUAACUUAUUCCUUGCCACCCAUUCCGAAACUAACUACAGCUCUUUGUUAAGUGUUGCAGUCAUUUCAGUCGCUGUAGUAGUUGACGUGUAUAGUGUUGAGUCAUCCGCAUACAUAGACACACUAACCUUACUCAAAGCCAGUGGCAUGUCAUUAGUAAAGAUAAAGUUUAGAUGGGCCAUAACUUUUUUUUCUCCAGAAAAUCUGCAAUCCAAAUUAACCUAUCCCAGCCACCAUCUUUUUUGGGGAAGCCCAAUUGAUUCUGAAUUCAGGCAUUUCAAAUAUAUUGUUAUGCUCAGACUUCAUGAUGUAAGGACUAAGGCAGGGGUGUCAAACUCAAUUCCUGGAGGGGCGAGUGUCGGUUUAUUAGCAUCCUUCACUCAUGCUACCAAACAUACCCUUGUACAACUGACCAUCCUACCAAUCCUCGACUUCGGCGAUGUAAUUUACAAAAUUAGCCUUCAAUACCCUACUCAACAAAUUGGAUGCAGUCUAUCACAGUGCCAUCCGUUUUGUCACCAAAGCCCCAUAUACUACCCACCAUUGCAACCUGUACGCUCUCGUUGGCUGGCCCUCGCUUCAUACUCGUCGCCAAACCCUCUGGCUCCAUGUCAUCUGCAAGGCCCUGCUAGGUAAAGUCCCCCCUUAUCUCAGCUUGCUGGUCACCAUAGCAUCACCCACCUGUAGCACGCGCUCCAGCAGGUAUAUCUCUCUAGUCACCCCCAAAACCAAUUAUUUCUUUGGCCGCCUCUCCUUCCAGUUCUCUGCUGCCAAUGACUGGAACAAACUACAAAAAUCUCUGAAACUGGAAACACUUAUCUCCUUCACUAGCUUUAAGCACCAGCUGUCAGAGCAGCUCACAGAUUACUGCACCUGUACAUAGCCCACCUAUAAUUUAGCCCAAACAACUACCUCUUUCCCUACUGUAUUUAUUUUAUUUUGCUCCUUUGCAUCCCAUUAUUUUUAUUUCUACUUUACACAUUCUUCCACCGUUUUACUUGCUAUAUUGUAUUUACUUUGCCACCAUGGCCGUUUUUUUGCCUUUACCUCCCUUAUCUCACUUCAUUUGCUCACAUCGUAUAUAGACUUGUUUCUGCUGUAUUAUUGACUGUAUGUUUGUUUUACUCCAUGUGUUGUUGUAUGUGUCGAACUGCUUUGCUUUAUCUUGGCCAGGUCGCAAUUGUAAAUGAGAACUUGUUCUCAACUUGCCUACCUGGUUAAAUA